GUAGCUGUGUCAGUCCCAGGAUAUUAGAGAGACAAAGUGGGUGAGGUAAUAUCUUUUAUUGGACCAACGUCUGCUCAUGAGAGAGACAAGCUUUCAAGCCUCACAGAACUCUUCUGGGAAAGAGUAACAGCCGUGUUAGUCUGUAUUCGCAA
This is a long non-coding RNA of Chelonia mydas (Green sea turtle), 152 nucleotides long. RefSeq lists it as uncharacterized. The transcript has 3 exons. The record is from RefSeq and is a predicted model, not a curated record. Lineage: Eukaryota; Metazoa; Chordata; Testudines; Cheloniidae.